This is an RNA transcript of Eutrema salsugineum, 2335 nucleotides long. It is a transcript of the gene named vacuolar-sorting receptor 5, with no coding region annotated. NCBI's taxonomy places the organism in Eukaryota, Viridiplantae, Streptophyta, Magnoliopsida, Brassicales, Brassicaceae. The record is from RefSeq and is a predicted model, not a curated record. The transcript has 14 exons.
CUCCGCUGACUUCUGUCAACUUUUGUCUUCUCUUCCAAAUACAUUAGCUUCAGAUCACUUUUUUCUCUGGAAAUAGUUGCAAAUUUUGACGGGAAACUUUCGAAAAACAGAGAGACGCUGUUGAGGACAAUGUCUCCAAGCAGUAAAGUAAUCGUUUUUGCUCUGAUUCUAGCGUUGACCAUGGUGGUCAACGGAGUUUCAGCGAUAUUCUUCGUGCAAAAGAGCAGCUUGACGGUUCUUAACUCAUGGGCAAUGGGAGCUAAGCACGACGCAGCCAUCGCAACCUUUGGCAUCCCAAGCUACGGCGGUUUCAUGAUCGGCUCCGUCGUCUACGCAGGCAAAGGCAGUUACGGAUGUAACUCCUUCAACAAAACCUUCAAGCCCAAGUCUCCUUAUCCCACCAUCCUCCUCAUUGAUCGUGGAGUGUGUAACUAUCCUUUGAAGAUAUGGAACGGGCAACAAUCCGGUGCAGCGGCUGUUUUACUAGCAGAUAACAUUGUUGAGCCAUUAAUAACAAUGGAUUCACCAGAGGAAUCCCAAGACGAAGAUCCUCACUUUUUAGAUAAAAUCAACAUCCCAUCGGCUUUGAUCCUUUGCUCUUUCGGAGACAGCCUCAAGAAAGCUCUAAAAAGAGGCGAAGAAGUAAUCUUGAAAAUAGAGUGGAGUGAGUCCAUACCAAACCCUGAUGAGAGAGUUGAGUAUGAGCUAUGGGCUAACACUAAUGAUGAAUGUGGUGUACACUGCAAUGAACAGAUGAAUUUCAUAAAGAACUUCAAGGGAAAAGCUCAGAUUCUCGAAAAAGGCGGUCAUACUUUGUUCACACCUCAUUACAUUUCUUGGUCUUGUCCCAAAGAGCUUCUACAUAGCAUGCAGUGUAAGACUCAGUGUAUAAACCAAGGGAGGUAUUGUGCUCCUGACCCUGAACAAGACUUUGAAGAUGGAUAUAAUGGGAAAGACGUCGUUUACGAGAACCUGAGACAGUUAUGUGUUCAUAGAGUGGCUAAGGAGAAGAACAGUUCUUGGGUCUGGUGGGAUUAUGUGACAGAUUUUAACAUCAGGUGUUCUAUGAAGGAGAAGAAAUAUAGCAAAGAAUGUGCGGAUACUGUCGUGGAAUCUCUUGGUUUGUCUCUUGAGAAGAUCAAGAAAUGCAUUGGUGAUCCUGAUGCUGAUGUAGAGAAUGAAGUUCUAAAAACCGAGCAAGCUUUUCAGUUAGGCCAAGAGAAUCGCGGGGUUAUCACAAUCUUUCCAACAUUGAUCAUCAACAAUGCUCAAUAUCGUGGUAAACUCGAGAGAACCUCGGUGCUGAAGGCUAUAUGUUCUGGAUUCAAGGAGAGAACCGAACCUCCAAUAUGUUUGAGUGCAGAUAUAGAGACCAAUGAAUGUCUUGAAGCAAAUGGUGGAUGUUGGCAAGAUAAAAGAUUUAAUGUAACGGCUUGCAAGGACACAUAUAGGGGAAGAGUAUGCGAGUGCCCGGUUGUCCAUGGUGUUCAAUAUAAAGGAGAUGGUUAUACCUCCUGCAAGCCUUAUGGACCUGCGAGAUGUUCCAUGAACGAAGGAGGCUGCUGGUCUGAAACCAAAAAGGGUCAAACUUUCUCUGCUUGUUUGAACUCGGACACAUCAGGAUGUCGUUGCCCUCUAGGCUUCCACGGAGAUGGUCUGAAAUGCGAAGACAUUGAUGAAUGCAAAGAGAAAUCAGCUUGUCAAUGUGAUGGCUGCAAAUGCAAGAACAAUUGGGGAGGAUAUGAAUGCGAAUGCUCUAACAAAAGUCUCUAUAUGAAAGAACAAGACACUUGUAUUGAGAGAAGAAGUGAAUCAAGAAGCAGAUGGUUGUUCACAAUUGUGGGUCUAACUGCCGUUGCAGGCAUCUCUUUCGUUGCUUAUAUAUUCUACAAGUACCACCUUAAGUCUUACAUGGAUUCAGAGAUAGUGUCUAUUAUGUCUCAGUACAUACCUCUUGAUAGCAAAAACAUUCAUGAAGAAUCGGAGCAGAACAGAACAGAACUCUAGUUGUCUGUAAUGAUGACCGUUAAAUCUUGGUUGGAACUAUACUAGAAUGGAAAUGGUUAUCAAACACUGAAGCAAGAUGGAGAACGUUUUGUCUCCUGUCUCCAUCGUCGCCGCCGUUAGAGUUACACAGAUGCCAGAAAGAAGCAAGUCAUGUAGAAAGCUUGAAAGCAGAAUAACGACAUUAGAGUGAUUUUGGAGACUUUUAGACUUGCAUUCCCUCGCUGAUAUCAUAAGUUUAAGAUCUAGGCACGAUUUUCUGAUGAGCCAUAUCGUAUGUAGCAUGAAGACCAAGCAAAAAAUAGUAUAGCAACAUGACUAAAGUGCAAAC